GAUGAACGCUGGCGGCGUGCCUAAUACAUGCAAGUCGAGCGAACGGACGAGAAGCUUUCUUCUCUGAUGUUAGCGGCGGACGUGUUAGUAACACGUGGAUAACCUACCUAUAAGUCUGGGAUAAAUUCGGGUAACCGGAGCUCAUACCGGAUAAUAUUUUGAACCGCAUGGUUCAAAAGUGAAAGUCGGUCUUGCUGUCACUUAUAGAUGGAUCCGCGCUGCAUUAGCUAGUUGGUAAGGUAACGGCUUACCAAGGCAACGAUGCAUAGCCGACCUGAGAGGGUGAUCAGCCACACUGGAACUGAGACACGGUCCAGACUCCUACGGGAGGCAGCAGUGGGGAAUCUUCGGCAAUGGGCGAAAGCCUGACGGAGCAACGCCGCGUGAGUGAUGAAGGUCUUCGGACCGUAAAACGCUGUUAUUAGGAAAGAACAUAUGUGUAAUAAACUGUGCACCUCUUGACGGUACCUAAUCAGAAAGCCACGGCUAACUACGUG
Molecule: ribosomal RNA, 497 nt
Filed under: uncultured bacterium
Lineage: Bacteria
Description: partial 16S ribosomal RNA
Rfam family: Bacterial small subunit ribosomal RNA
Source: RNAcentral